GUCGGUGACGUUAUGUCUGGUGACACACCUGAUCCCAUCCCGAACUCAGAAGUUAAGCCCAGGCAGCCGAUGAUACUGCUCAGCGGGAAAGUAGGUCAUUGCCGACU
RNAcentral lists this ribosomal RNA (107 nucleotides) under Phycisphaerae bacterium. Lineage: Bacteria; Pseudomonadati; Planctomycetota; Phycisphaerae. The record is from RNAcentral.